CCCGGUUGUCCUCUCCCCCUUUUUCUCACCAAAAUCUUUUUUGUCCUUGCCUGCGCCUCUGCACCCUUUCUCUGUCCUCCUCGAUUUCCGCGUGGCCGCACAGAGAGGCCGCCAAGGGACGCCGCCGGUCGCUGCCGCGCGCGCAGGUAUUUUUUGUCCGCCCCUGGUUCCCUUUUUUUCGUCCCUCUAAAAACAUCCAUGGCAACUCUUCUUUUUUUCUCACUUUUUUGUGUUUCAGAGAAAAGACCAACGGCGCGCACCGGACGCGCCGCGAGGGCGAGGCGAAAAGAGGAGGAAGCGAAAAGGCUCUAAAAAUGCACAGGAUUACACCAUAAUAGUGAAAAAGGUGACGCCGCA
Molecule: long non-coding RNA, 357 nt
Filed under: Pandoravirus dulcis
Description: putative ncRNA
Source: RNAcentral